Long non-coding RNA from Lycium ferocissimum, 1926 nucleotides. RefSeq lists it as uncharacterized. The transcript has 2 exons. NCBI's taxonomy places the organism in Eukaryota, Viridiplantae, Streptophyta, Magnoliopsida, Solanales, Solanaceae. The record is from RefSeq and is a predicted model, not a curated record.
ACACACACACACAUUGGAAACUUGAAAGAGACAUUCUUUUUGAAAUGGACUACAAAGGAAAGUAAUACAAACAAAUUGAAACGGAAGGAAUAUUUCUACGUCCUUGUAGUUCUUAUUAUUGAUCUAAGGGCUUAACUUUUUUUCAGAAAGACUUGUUGGAAAUGUGAUUUGUAAGCGGAAAAAAUACUUGGGAGUAAUGUGCAUUUAUGGUUUUUGUAAGAAGGUAAACAAACCCAGAUGACAUAUAGUGAAUUGUAUAAUAUAGGAGUAAGGGCCCUUACUUUGGCUUGCUCGACCCAUCGAAUUCGAAGACUGAGGAACAUGGAAGAGAGCCUAAGCAAUGUUGUUAGGCUUGUUCCUUUGAUGUAAACGAUGUCUUCCUUAGGUAGAGUUUGAGAGCCGUAGUUAGGAAGAAGUUAGUGGGAUCUUUUAUUUACGUUUUCUUUUUCUUUUGUUUUUGACAAUAUUAGUGACUAUACUUGUAUAAGGAAAAAAAAUGCAAAACAACUAACAGAAAAGAGUCUACACGAUUCAAAAUCAAUUCUGUUAGUAUAGAACCAUUUGAUGGAGCACCUAUAGUGUAUACGAGAAAUUGGUACUCAAUGAUGCAUAUCUUUUAUUUUAAAUUUCAUCUUACUUAAAAAAUGAGGGUUAACAUGUAUCCAGGAUCAGUUGUAACAGUGCAACCCAUGAUAUGUGGCUUAGGCGCACAUCACUAGUUCAUGCCCUCCUGACGACCAAAAGUCUUGUAUUUAAGUAGAUAAGGGUAGAUUGCCAGGCCCAUUAGCAUCGAGUUUCGGAUCGUGUGCUGGCUGACUCUCAGGAAUUUCUUGGUUAUCAAAGGAAAAAAAGAUUUGGGCUGGAGUAUGUUUUCCUGUUUCGCAAGUGUAGUAUUUUCAAGGCUCUUGUUGUCUUAAGUUGGAGAUUUGCUCCUACUGGCAGUGAGUGACUAGAUUUUGCAGCUCAGAAUAUCUUGAGACUAUUUUGAGGUAAUGAGAGGGAGCUCGGACUAUUGCGAACUCUGAGUUUCAGUGAAAGAGUGUGGUAGAAAGCUUUGGUGAAAGUUUGUACUAAAUCACAGAUCUUGGCGUUUCCAGAUAGUAUACGUAGCUGGAACUAGAAAGUAGGAGCAUAAGCUCUAAAAAAAAAUUAGUAGGAGAGAGUUGUCAGUUUGCAAAUUCUAUUUUGGAUGGAUUAAAAAGAGAAAAUCUUUGACGUGAUUGAACAAGUUAUUCCCCGUCAAAGCUUGGUCAAAAUGCAUUGAAUGAAGGGGUUUCUCAGAGUUCAUCAGAACAAUGUGAUUGAUAAGAAACAAAGACUUGGGAUUAAUGUGCAGUUAUGGUUUUUCUAUGAGGGUAAAGAAAUCCAGAUGCCAGAUAAUGAAUUGUAAAAUAUAGGAGUAUGACGUUGGAUAGUCUGGAAAAAGUUAAGUGGCAUCUUUUGUAGUGGGCAAAUAGAAUAUCAGGAGGACUAGCAGAUAUAUUCUUAUAAUGGUUUUCCUACUUAUUUUCAUCCAUUAAGCUCUGCUUUAAAUUUCAGCAAGACCAGUUGGAAAUUGCAGGUUUUGAUUCUCUGAACAAGUAAGGCUUGGGAUUCACGUGUAUAUCUGCUUUGUGAUUGUUGAAAGAGAACUUGGAGUUCCCUGAUAGUAGACUGAAGAAAUGAGACCUUAACAGCACUACUUGUAUACAAAAAAAGAGAACCUAAGCAGGCUUUAUAAGUAAGGUAAUUUUAUUAAGGAAGGACAGUGCUAAGAUAGUACAGUGCAGAUAUAAAAAGCAGAAAAGCUGUAGAGGAUGAAUUUGAAGAAGGAAGGUACUCCUUCUUUUCAUUAUAUCUUAUGGUAUUUGACUAGACACGAGUGAUAUAAGUCCAAUCAACUCCUUAAAUCAUGCCUUGUCAAAUACCACAAAGAUUAGUGAUAAA